Molecule: non-coding RNA, 47 nt
Filed under: Schistosoma margrebowiei
Lineage: Eukaryota; Metazoa; Platyhelminthes; Trematoda; Strigeidida; Schistosomatidae
Source: RNAcentral
AUCCAGCUGAUGUGAGUCCCAAAUAGGACGCAACGUGUGUCCUGGAU